This is a long non-coding RNA of Herpailurus yagouaroundi (jaguarundi), 525 nucleotides long. RefSeq lists it as uncharacterized. NCBI's taxonomy places the organism in Eukaryota, Metazoa, Chordata, Mammalia, Carnivora, Felidae. The record is from RefSeq and is a predicted model, not a curated record. The transcript has 2 exons.
UGCAUACAAUCAAAGACAUGAUAUCAGCUACAUCAUGUAAACAGUUGGGAUGUUGUCACUUCUAUUCUUACAAAUUGAAAAACGAUCACUUUCUCCUUGACCCAUAUGAAAAUUGAGGUUGCAGAGCAAACUGACACCCUGAAAUUUGGAGAGACAGGCAAAUCCUUGAAGUCACUGUCAAGAUCUGCCUACCAGGAGUAGAAGCUGCUGAAGUCAUGAACUGUAUAAAAUGGAUGGAGAACCAGAUUUGGCCUGAAAGCCCACAGGUUGCUGACUCCUGGUUAUUUGAAGAUAAGCUUCCCCCAGACAGAAUUAACCAAGAAAGAGGAAGUUAUAAAUGCAAGAAUAUAGAGGAUCCAACAUAGAAAAGAGGCAAGUUGAAUCCUCAGGAUGAUGGUGAAGACAGAUCCUACGAAGAUAGGAUCCACCACCCACUGAGGCUGGAACAGGAGGACAGAGGGCUCCGGGGAGAUUUGAGCCAGAAGACAAAUUGAACCCAAGCAAAAUAAAACAAAACAAAAAUGA